AUUGAACGCUGGCGGAAUGCUUUACACAUGCAAGUCGAACGGCAGCACGGACUUCGGUCUGGUGGCGAGUGGCGAACGGGUGAGUAAUGUAUCGGAACGUGCCCAGUCGUGGGGGAUAACGUAGUGAAAAUUACGCUAAUACCGCAUACGAUCUAUGGAUGAAAGCGGGGGAUCGCAAGACCCCGCGCGAUUGGAGCGGCCGAUAUCAGAUUAGGUAGUUGGUGGGGUAAAGGCCCACAAAGCCAAAGAUCUGUAGCUGGUCUGAGAGGACGACCAGCCACACUGGAACUGAGACACGGUCCAGACUCCUACGGGAGGCAGCAGUGGGGAAUUUUGGACAAUGGGCGAAAGCCUGAUCCAGCCAUUCCGCGUGCAGGAUGAAGGCCCUCGGGUUGUAAACUGCUUUUGUACAGAACGAAAAGGUUUCUACUAAUACUAGGAGCUCAUGACGGUACUGUAAGAAUAAGCACCGGCUAACUACGUGCCAGCAGCCGCGGUAA
RNAcentral lists this ribosomal RNA (500 nucleotides) under uncultured bacterium. RNAcentral's name for it is "partial 16S ribosomal RNA". It matches the Rfam family "Bacterial small subunit ribosomal RNA", at positions 30 to 523 of the family's 1533-position model. The record is from RNAcentral.